CAUGUACAAGUGUGUAAGUCGCUCUGGAUAAGAGCGUCUGCUAAAUGACGUAAA
Non-coding RNA from Salmo salar (Atlantic salmon), 54 nucleotides. NCBI's taxonomy places the organism in Eukaryota, Metazoa, Chordata, Actinopteri, Salmoniformes, Salmonidae. The record is from Rfam.